This 63-nucleotide transfer RNA is filed under the name Mordellidae sp. GENSP02. RNAcentral describes it as "tRNA-Leu". The record is from RNAcentral. Lineage: Eukaryota; Metazoa; Arthropoda; Insecta; Coleoptera; Mordellidae.
GUUAUUUUGGCAGAAUAGUGCGUUAGAUUUAGGAUCUUAUCAUGUAAUGAUUUACAUUUAACA